Mauremys reevesii (Reeves's turtle) is the source of this 2284-nucleotide long non-coding RNA. RefSeq lists it as uncharacterized. The record is from RefSeq and is a predicted model, not a curated record. The transcript is spliced from 3 exons. NCBI's taxonomy places the organism in Eukaryota, Metazoa, Chordata, Testudines, Geoemydidae.
AACACUACAUAAGGCGAGGGUGUUCGGCAGUAUUAACACUUGGUAACAACAUAGCUAUUGCAACAGCAUUUAACACAGUGUUUUCUAUUAAGGCUUCCUCCUUCCUUCCUUCUUCAGUUGAAAGUACUCUUGAAAUUGUGGAACUUACACGUUACACUUACAUUGGCAUACGCCAGGCACAGAUCAGGCAGGCACUAUGCAAGUUUGCCACACGUGAAGCGCCCAGGAUCAGGAUCAGCUAGUCCCAGGAUGGGAUAUAAAGGUGGCAUAUUCCCAUCUUUGCCUACCCUGCUUGGAUUUUCUGCUAUAGCUUUGCAGAACCUCUGGAUUGGGCCCUGUGAAUCACUGUAAUUCCAGCCCAGUGGCCCUGUCUAUAUUACAAAAACUCUAUACACUAUAAAGAUGCUUGACAAAGCAUGUCAAGCAUCUUUGUUCACAGUAGCCUGGGCCUUGUCCUUAGACAGGAAACCUGUGUUUGCUUGUAAUAUUUGAUAAUCUCUCAUAUUACUGAGCACACAAGGGAUUUUUAGAUGAACAGUAUUUAAACAUGAAUAAUUAAAAUCGGAGUUAAAUGAAGAUAUUGUACAGCGCGGUGCAGUGUAAACACACUGACUCCCUGGGCUCCAUUCAGAUAUAUUCGUUACUAUGCCGCUUUGGAUCCAGAAAGGGAAAAGCUUUCACUGUCAUUACUAACUACAUCUGAUUAAAUGUGAUUAUGCUUUUGACAAAUUUUCUUGUGUCAGGCACUAAAUUAAGAGGGAGGUGGGGGAGAGAGAUUUUUCCAGUUACGAUCGAUAUUAUUCUGAUAAAGUCCUUCUCAAUUCAGAAAAGUUGUUCUCUGCUUAGGUUAAUCUGCUUAAUAAAUGGCAUAGGGUGUUCUCAGCUCAGGAAUUAUAGCACAAAGCAGGUGGAGCAACCUUAGAAUCUAAGCUGCAAAGAUCUAGUCAAAUAUAUUGCUUGAUCCCAAUGUGAGGUACAAUUGAUAGCCACAGGACAGAGACUAGCAGAAGUGGAGCAAGGCAGGGAGUCAGCCUUCUGGGUCGGUGUAUGACAAUUCAGUUCAGGAAGAAGGCUGAUGGAAUGCUUCUACUCUCAAUGAAUUUUUCUUAGCUUUAAGACCACAGUCCUAGAUCCCCUGACUACAAAAGAUCUGCCAAAAAUCUAUAAGUAUCUGACAACUUGGUUUCUUCUGGCACUUCUGGUGAAAAAGUUGGGGGCGGGGUGGGGGUGAGAGAAAGAGAGAGAGGAAGAAGAAGAGAAAGAUUGUUUUAAUUUUGACCUCCUGCAAGUCACUUCAUUAACCCUGAUUCUGCUUGACCCUUUUACAGCCCAACUGUUUAUUUUCUUCAUGAAACUAAAACCAGAUCGAUCAACUCUUCCUCAAAGCCCUGGCUUCCAGUCACAGGCCUGCUGCUAACAACAGACCUGAUGCAAAUUGAAUCUCUGGGAAACAGGAUCUUCAGAUGAGUCAAACAUUUCUGGGGAAUGGCGAGCAAAGCUUUCCAAGGGUGCAUGUGCUGAAUUCAUUAAAAGAUUUUCCUUUCCAACCUGGCUCUCCACUGUAUUUCACAGUCCAAGUAGACCCAUGGUGUCCAGCAAUAAGCCAAAGGGCCUCAUCCAGUAAGGUGCUGAGCAUCCUCGACUCCCACGGAAUGAGUUUGCUCCACAGCACUUGGCAGGAUCAUACCAAGUGCUUAGAUGUGGCAAGUAUCAAUAACUGUGAUGUGCAUAUAUAUGUAACCCUUCUGCCAGGGGAGUCAGCAGCAACAAGGGUGGGUUGAAUAUCUAUGGGGGUUCCUCUUAACAAAACAAAACAGACCUGGUUCGAGUCCCCCGCCAGGAAUCUGGGAAAACUAAACACCACCCUGAGGUGCCUCGAAGAGGCAAUACUUCCCCUCUCACAAGCACUGAGUCUGUAUAAUAAAGGGAAAGAGAACUCAGCAUUAAGUUGGAAAAGCACCACAACCACUUUCAAAAACAUGUGACUAUACACAAACACCCACCCCUCAGUACGUUGAGCAGUGUCUUGCAGUGUGAAAGUCUGAACAAAUGUCCUUUUAACACCCCUCUUCCCCUUCCCUCCGCUGCACCCCACUCAAAAUUGGUCCUCCUUGGACAGCGAAGACCCAGAGUUCAGAGGUGCAUACACAUGGGUCCACCUUCCACCCCUGAGCGGGGCCAGGAGGGGAGGAUGUUGAGCAAUACCUCCCACCUCUGCAACUGACUCACUGCCACUGUUAUCUCUGCCACUGCUGGCCGCUCACUGCCAGGGCCAGCUCUGGGA